GGGCUGCUGAAUUCUUCAAUAUGAACCAUCCCUUUGAUAAGAAACUGAGUGGGCCUGGUUCUUCUCAUCCCAGGAGAGCUCUGGUGUGCUUCCUGGCAUAUAAGUCAUCUGUUAUAUUUUUCUAGCCUCAUGGAGAGAGGUGCUGACGCCAUUUGGAAGAAUAAUAUCCUGAGGUGCAGAGAUGGAGAAUCUGAAGCGCAGCACGAAGAGGUGUAUUAACUUGAUGAAGGUCACACGGCCAGGAGCAAUUUAAAAGAAGAAAAAAAAUCCUUCUCUGAAUGGAGACAGAUGCCAUAUAUGUUGGACCCUCAGGGGAUUGAAAAGGAUGAGGUUCCCAAGUCCAGUGUUCUGGGGACGGACGUGGGU
This 366-nucleotide long non-coding RNA is filed under the name Homo sapiens (human). RNAcentral's name for it is "HSALNT0154580". The record is from RNAcentral. Lineage: Eukaryota; Metazoa; Chordata; Mammalia; Primates; Hominidae.